CCAAAUUUAGCUCAGUUGGAAGAGCGUCGGACUGUAAAGUUUGUAGUCAUCCUUAGGUCCCGGUUCGAACCCGGGAGUUUGGA
RNAcentral lists this transfer RNA (83 nucleotides) under Tetrahymena thermophila SB210. RNAcentral's name for it is "Tetrahymena thermophila tRNA-Tyr for anticodon GUA". It matches the Rfam family "tRNA". Rfam says of the family: Transfer RNA (tRNA) molecules are approximately 80 nucleotides in length. Their secondary structure includes four short double-helical elements and three loops (D, anti-codon, and T loops). The record is from Rfam by way of RNAcentral. Lineage: Eukaryota; Ciliophora; Oligohymenophorea; Hymenostomatida; Tetrahymenidae.